Molecule: ribosomal RNA, 804 nt
Filed under: uncultured rumen bacterium
Lineage: Bacteria
Description: bacterial SSU rRNA
Rfam family: Bacterial small subunit ribosomal RNA
Source: RNAcentral
ACAUGCAAGUCGAACGAGGUGGCCCACUGAUUUUAUGGAAGUUGGAGUGCUUGCACAAAGACGGAAAUAAUUGACGUGGAAUUUCCACCUAGUGGCGCAAGGGUGAGUAACACGUAGGUAAUCUGCCUUCGAGUCUGGAAUAACAGUUAGAAAUGAUUGCUAAUGCCGGAUGAUAUCGGGAAUGAUACGUCUUUCCUUAUUAAAAGGGGCCUUUAAAGCCUCGCUUGAAGAUGAGCCUGCGCUGUAUUAGCUAGUUGGUGAGGUAAUGGCUCACCAAGGCGACGAUGCAUAGCCGACCUGAGAGGGUGAUCGGCCACACUGGGACUGAGACACGGCCCAGACUCCUACGGGAGACAGCAGUUAGGAAUAUUCGUCAAUGGGGGAAACCCUGAACGAGCAAUGCCGCGUGAAGGAUGACGGUCCUAUGGAUUGUAAACUUCUGUUGUUAGGGAAGAACGACACAAGUAGGAAAUGACUUGUGAGUGACGGUACCUUUCAAGAAAGCUCCGGCUAACUACGUGCCAGCAGCCGCGGUAAUACGUAGGGAGCGAGCGUUAUCCGGAUUUAUUGGGUGUAAAGGGUACGUAGGCGGUUUGAUAAGUCUGUGGUUUAAUCCCGAAGCUUAACUUCGGCGCGCCACAGAAACUGUCAAACUUGAGUAUGGUAGAGGCAAGUGGAAUUCUAGUGUAGCGGUUAAUGCGUAGAUAUAGAGACACCAGUGGGAAGCGACUUGCUGGCCAUUCUGACGCUGAAAUACGAAGCGUGGGAGCAAUAGGAUAGAUCCCUAUAGUCAGCCGUAACAAG